This 94-nucleotide small nucleolar RNA is filed under the name Oryza brachyantha (malo sina). RNAcentral describes it as "Small nucleolar RNA R38". It matches the Rfam family "Small nucleolar RNA R38". Rfam says of the family: snoR38 is a C/D box small nucleolar RNA conserved across yeast, human, Arabidopsis and rice. It is encoded in the intron of elongation factor-1 gamma in both pombe and cerevisiae. snoR38 guides the methylation of 2'-O-ribose sites in 28S rRNA. Lineage: Eukaryota; Viridiplantae; Streptophyta; Magnoliopsida; Poales; Poaceae. The record is from Rfam by way of RNAcentral.
AGAUGUGGAUGACGAAAUCACAAGUAAAAUACAGUUAUCCCUGUCUGAUUCCUUUGAUAAGGGUGCUGAGAAAACUUAAGAAUCUGACACAUUA